This 85-nucleotide non-coding RNA is filed under the name unclassified sequences. The record is from RNAcentral.
AAUUCUUUGCCGCCGGGUAAAGGGUUGUGCGUCAGACUUCCUAUCAGUAGGCCAUUGAAGAUAGGAGGGCUGGCGUUUUUUGUUG